CUGGGUGAGAGGGAGAUACAGUGCGUGUAUCAUUCAGAGCAUGCAGGCUGAUCAACUUGCGAUCGACAUUCGACAGUGCUGCGAGACUCCGUAAGCUUCUAAUUCCACCUCUUUUCUUCUCCGCGCCAAGCCGUGAAGUCAUCGAUCAAUUGAUCAGCUGGGGGUCUGGUCGAGGAGAAAGGAAGCUGAAUGAGAAGGGUACUGGGCUGCGCUUAUAUUAGUUAGCUAGGUAUAGUACGCCCUUGUUGUUUUGUAGCAGUAUGGCGUUCUUGAUGCUUCGAGUAAAAACAUUCAUGUAAUCAUUUGUUGUUGUUUUUGCCCUCCGGGUCUUCUCAUUUUUCUUCUUCUUCUUGACGAUGGAUCAAUAAAUACACAGCUGUUGCGAUAAGGUAAAGGAAGGUCAACGUCCGUAGUGACAAAUGCGCCUGCACCUGACAUUAGUUGGGGUUGAG
RNAcentral lists this long non-coding RNA (452 nucleotides) under Triticum aestivum (bread wheat). RNAcentral describes it as "long non-coding RNA (TAES_LNC003473)". Lineage: Eukaryota; Viridiplantae; Streptophyta; Magnoliopsida; Poales; Poaceae. The record is from RNAcentral.